RNAcentral lists this transfer RNA (74 nucleotides) under Bacteroidota bacterium. Its description in RNAcentral is "Bacteroidetes bacterium (sediment metagenome) tRNA-Asn". It matches the Rfam family "tRNA". From Rfam's summary of the family: Transfer RNA (tRNA) molecules are approximately 80 nucleotides in length. Their secondary structure includes four short double-helical elements and three loops (D, anti-codon, and T loops). The record is from RNAcentral. RNAcentral also lists the same sequence under 1 other name. Lineage: Bacteria; Pseudomonadati; Bacteroidota.
UCCUCAGUAGCUCAGCUGGUUAGAGCGGCGGACUGUUAAUCCGUAGGUCGCAGGUUCGAUCCCUGCCUGGGGAG